Molecule: ribosomal RNA, 253 nt
Filed under: uncultured bacterium
Lineage: Bacteria
Description: partial 16S ribosomal RNA
Rfam family: Bacterial small subunit ribosomal RNA
Source: RNAcentral
UACGAAGGGGGCUAGCGUUGCUCGGAAUUACUGGGCGUAAAGGGAGCGUAGGCGGACAUUUAAGUCAGGGGUGAAAUCCCGGGGCUCAACCUCGGAACUGCCCUUGAUACUGGAUGUCUUGAGUGUGAGAGAGGUAUGUGGAACUCCGAGUGUAGAGGUGAAAUUCGUAGAUAUUCGGAAGAACACCAGUGGCGAAGGCGACAUACUGGCUCAUUACUGACGCUGAGGCUCGAAAGCGUGGGGAGCAAACAGG